Molecule: non-coding RNA, 27 nt
Filed under: Homo sapiens (human)
Lineage: Eukaryota; Metazoa; Chordata; Mammalia; Primates; Hominidae
Source: RNAcentral
UGCGAAAUCAGGAAAGUGCUUUUGGUC